This 253-nucleotide ribosomal RNA is filed under the name uncultured bacterium. RNAcentral's name for it is "partial 16S ribosomal RNA". It matches the Rfam family "Bacterial small subunit ribosomal RNA", at positions 524 to 776 of the family's 1533-position model. The record is from RNAcentral.
UACAGAGGGUGCGAGCGUUAAUCGGAAUUACUGGGCGUAAAGCGCACGUAGGUGGCGACGUAAGUCGGGUGUGAAAGCCCCGGGCUCAACCUGGGAAUUGCAUUCGAGACUGCAUUGCUGGAGUACGGAAGAGGCGGGCGGAAUUCCCGGUGUAGCGGUGAAAUGCGUAGAUAUCGGGAGGAACAUCAGUGGCGAAGGCGGCCCUCUGGUCCAGUACUGACACUCAAGUGCGAAAGCGUGGGGAGCAAACAGG